AUCAUUUUCCACUUAUCUAUUUGUCAAAUGGAACAUGACUAGCAGUACUAUUUCACACUGUCAAAGACAAUAUAAACUUCCAGAUGCAAUUAGGUGCCUCAGAGAGAGUGGUAUGGCCACAGACUGGCAAUAUAUUUUAAAAGCAUGCAUAAUCAUUGACCUACCAAUUCUAAUGCUAAGAAUUUAAUUUAGCUUUAAGGAUGUACCCAACAAUUGGAAAUAACCUAAAUAAUGUUCAAAUUCAGAAAAGUGAUCGAGUCAAAUGUGGCAUUUCCACAAGAUGAAAAAUGACAUUAGAAAUAAGUGGUGAUAUUAUAGAUGAACCUGUAAUUUUUUUUUUUUUUAACAAUGUACACAAAUACCUGGGCACAGUUAGGCCAAACAACAGAUCACAGAUCAUACACUAGCUGAGUAGAGAACUCUCACAGUUAAGAGCUGCUCUCGAUCUGUUGCCAUAGCGCAUGCCUGUAGUCCCAUCACUGUGGGAGGGCUGUCUGAUCCUAAGAGUUCAAGACCAGCCCGGGCUACACAGUGAGAGCUUCUCUCUACAAUUAAAAAAAAAAAAAGCUGGGCAUGGUGGCGCUCACCUGUAGCCUUAGCUACUCAGGAGGUUGAGGCUGUGAUGUGCCACUGGACUCGUCUCGGCAAGAGUGAGACCUCAACCCAAAAAACCACAACUACUCUCCUUGUACAAAACAUCGCUCUAAUUUUCACAUAUAUCUUCUGAGCUAGAGUCAUUAACUCUUUACUUUUUCCUAAAAGGACAAAAUAUAGGUGCUGAUUUAACAUUAAAAAUCUCGCUUGGGGUGCUCCUCCCACAGCGGUUGGCCACAAAGAGUCUGGGGGUUGGGGGAAGGUCAAGCAUAGCCUUCUCACCUUUACCAAAAUGGCGGCUUGUCCCCGCUUUGCCAAGGUUCCUACCUUAUGAGCUUGGUUUUCUUACGCUAAUUAAGAGUGGAACAGCAAAAGCUGGCAGGCUGACAGAAGCAGCCUCAGGAUGGACUUCCUGGCUCCUGACCAUUUUGCUAUUGUGCAUAGGUGUGAGAUCAACCAUGAGCUCCACUACAGUUUUGACCCGAAAGCUUGCUGAACACUGAAGUGGGCUGGUUCCUCAAUAGAUCAAAGUUGUCACUCUAAAUUUAGAAGAGGAGAGUGACUCUCCAACCUACAAGGAUGCCUUCCCUCCACUUCCCAAGAAAGCAGUCUGGUUGCAAAGUGCCCUGGAGCCUGCUGGAGCCUGGGGUAACAAGAUCCGGCCCAUUGAGGCUUCUGUCAUCACUCAGGUGUUCCAUGUACUCCUGGAAGAGAGAAAAUUUAAGGACAUGAACCAAUUUGGAGAAGGUGAACAAGCAAAAAUCUGCCUUGAGAUCACACAGAGGACCAGUGCUCACCUGAAGUCAUCACUGGCCAAAGACCAAGGCCUCUCCAUCAUGGUCUCGGGGAAGCUGGGCACUGUCAUGAAAGCACAGAAGGACAUUGUUGCUAGACUGCAGACUCAGGCCUCAGCAACUGCUGCCAUUCCCAAAGAACACCAUCACUUUGUUAUUGGCAAAAAUGGAGAGAAACUGCAAGACUUGGAGCUAAAAACUGCAACCAAAAUCCAGAUCGCAUGCCCAGAUGACCCCAGCAAUCAGAUCAAGAUCACUGGCACCCAAGAGGGCACUGAAAAAGCUCACUCUGAAGUCUUACUCAUCUCUGCCAAGCAGGACAAGCGUGGUGUGGAGAGGCUACAAGUGGAGAAAGCAUUCCACCCCAUCACUGCUGGGCCUACAAUUGACUUGUUAGCGAAAUCAUGCAAGAGAUAGGAACACACAUCAACAUCCCCCCACCGUGAAUCGGACAGAAAUUGUCUUUACCGGAGAGAAGGAACAGUUGGCUCAGGCUACGGUUCGAAUCAAGAAGAUUUAUGAGGAAAAUAAAAAGAAGACCACCAUUGCUGUGGAGGUGAAGAAAACUCAGCACAAGGGCAAUUCAAUGCAGGAAAUCCUGGAGAGAACUGGAGUUUCUGUUGAGAUCCCACCUUCAGACAGUAUCUCUGAGACUGUGAUACUUCGAGGAGAGUCUGAAAAGUUAGCGCAGUUAUUGACUAAAGUCUAUGCCAAGGCCAAUAGUUUCACUAUCUCCUCUGCUGCUGCCCCUUCCUGGCUUCACUGUUUCAUCAUUGGCAAGAAAGGGCAGAACCUGGCCAAGAUCACUCAACAGACGCCAAAGGUUCACAUAGAGUUCAAGAGGGUGAGGACAAGAUCACCCUGGAAGGCCCUAUGGGGGAUGUAAAUGUGGCCCACAAACAGAUCAAAGGCAUGGACAAAGAUUUGAUGAACUGGAAGGACCAUGUAGAGAUUAACAUCGAUCACAAGUUCCACAGACACCUCAGUGGGAAGAAUGGCGCCAACAUAAACAGAAUCAAAGUCCAGUACAAGGUGUCUGUGUGCAUCCCUCCUGAUUGUGAGAAGAGCAACCUGAUUCGCAUCAGGGGAGAUCCACAGGGCAUGCGGCAGGCCAAGCGUGAGCUGCUGGAGCUGACGUCUUGCAUGGAAAAUGAGUGUACCAAGGAUCUAAUCAUUGACCCGGCAGAGCAAAGAUUUCAUAGCACAAUCUUUGGGCAGAAGGGUGAAUGGAUCCGUGAAAUUUGUAACAAAUUCCCAGAGGUUAUCAUCAGCUUUCUUGACCCAGCACAAAAAAGUGGUAUUGUCCAACUUAGAGGGCCCAAGAAUGAGGUGGAAAAAUGCACAAAAUACACGCAGAAGAUGGUGGCAGACUUGGUGGAAAAUAGCUACUCAAUUUCUGUUCCGAUCUUCAGUUUCAUAAGAACAUCAUUGGGAAAGGAGGUGCAAACAUUAACAAGAUUCGUGAAGAAAGCAACACACCAAGAUUGACUUUCCAGCAGAGAAUAGCAAUUCAGAGACCAUUAUCAUCACAGGCAAGUGAGUUAAAGAAAGACUUGGCCAACAUAGGUGAGGUGGAGGUCUCGAUCCCUGCCAAGCUGCACAACUCCCUCAUCGACAUGAAGGGUUGUCUCAUCUGCUGUAUCAUGGAGAAGUGCAGUGGGGUCCACAUUCACUUUCCUGUGGAAGGUUCAGGAAGCGACAGUUAUCAUCAGGGGUCCAUUCUCGGAUACGGAGAAGGCCAAGCAGCAGCUUUUGCACCUGGCCAAGGAGAAGCAAACCAAGAGUUUCACAUCCGCCAAGUCAGAACACAAUUUCUCAUUAGCAAAGGUGGCAAAAUUCGCAAGGUGUGUGACAGCACCAGAGCCUGCAUCAUCUUUCCAGCAGCCGAGGACAAGGAUCAAGAUCUGAUUGCCAUCAGAGGAAAGGAGGAUGCUGUCCAGGAGGUGCAGGAGUUGGAGGCCUUGAUCCAGAACCUGAAUAACGUGGUUGAAGACUACAAGCUGGCGGACCCCAAACACCACCACCACUUUGUCAUCGAAGAGGCCAGGUUUUGCGGGAGAUUGCUGAGGAGUAUGAUGGGAUGGUAGCUUCCCACACUCCAGCACAGAGUGACAAAGUCACCCUCAAGGGCGGCAAGGACUGUGUGGAGACAGCCAAGAAACGCUUUCAGGAAAUCACUGAGGAAUCUGGAAGCUCAGGUGACAGUAGAACGUGCUAUACCCCAGAAAGUCCACUGAUCUGUCAUGGGCCCCAAAGGUUCCAGAAUCCAGCAGAUUACUCGGGAUUUCAAUGUUCAAAUUGAAUUCCCAGAGAAUGGGGACUAAGCGAGGGAGGGGAGGGGCCAAGGAAGAUGCCCCCGGCUCUUUUAGGUGUGACGUCAUCAUCAUCUCUGGCUGGAAAGAAUAGCGUGAGGCUACCAAGGAAGCCCUGGAGGCACUGGUUCCUGUCACCAUUGACGUGGAGGUGCCCUUUGAUCUUCACCGUUACAUCACUGGGCAGAAGGGAAAUGGGAUUCGCAAAGUGAUGGAUGAGUUUGAGGUGAACACACACGUCCCAGCACCUGAGCUACAGUCUGACGCCGUCACCAUCACAGGCCUUGCUGCAAAUUUGGACCAGGCCAAGGCUGGGUUGCCAGAGCAUGUGAAGGAAUUGGAGGCCAAACAGGAGGACCGGGCUUUAAGGAGUUUUAAGCUGACUGCCACUGUAGACCCCAAAUACCAUCCCGAAUUGGGAGAAAGGGGACAUGAACAUCCAGUUUCCUGAUAAGGAUGAUGGGACCCAGACCCAGGACCAAAUUAACACCACAGGGCACGAAAAGAAUACAGAAGCUUCCUGGGAUGCUAUAUUAAGAAUUGUGAAAGAAGAGAUGGUUUUCAAGGACGUUUCCCUGGACCACCGUGUUCACGCCUGUAUCACUGGUGCCCAUGGCAAAGCCAUCCGCAAAAUCACGAAUUUAAGGUAGACAUUUGCUUUCCACAGAGCAGAGCCCCAGACCCUAACUGCGUCACAGUGACGGGGCUCCCAGAUAACAUGAAGGAAUCCAUUGACCACAUCCUAAACCUGGAAGAGGAAUACCUGGCAGAUGAGGUGGACAGUGAGGUGCUGCAGGUAUACAUGAAGCCUCCGGUACACGAGUCCAAAGUGCCAUCCAGAGGCUUUGUGGUGUGUGAUGGGCCGUGGACUGCCAACAGCAGUGAGAAGGCUCCUGACAUGAGCAGCUCUGAGGAACUUCCCAGUUUUGGGGCUCAGGUGGCCUCCAAGGCCCUCCCAUGGGGUCCCAAACAAUAAUGAUCAAAAGGCAGAAACCUAUCUAGCCUGCUGACCCGAACCCCACCACCACACAAUCGUUUGUCUCAAUCUGACCCAGCAAGCUCUGUGUGCGUCCAGUAUGGGGCCUGGUCGACACCCAGCACAUGCUCAGGAUCUGCUCCCUGACACUUGGCUCUGGGUGCUCCACUGUUUAACACUAAACAAAGUUAAUUGAGCAUUCUGUGGUGACACAAACUCUGGCUUCCUGAUCCACCCAGCAUGUCAGUCAGCACUCUGACCAGAGUUCCACAGCUGCGGCUAGGAUUCGACUUCCUGUGUCAUGAUCUCAGAAAAUAAAUUUUCCUUGACUUUAUAUUAAAACAACAACAACAACAACAAAAAAAAACUUGCUUGAUUUUAGUGGGCUAUUCUUCUCUAGUAGGUUUUAACAGCUUUUAAACAAGUUUUCCAGUCUAACUAAAUAGCUAUUAUUAUAUGUAAAAGCUUGUGCAUAUGAAGUGCAAUGCUUGAGACUCAACUUGUAAAAGUAACUUUCCAGCGUCUUUUGUCACUUAUAAAAAAGAAAUUGUGUUUUUCCAGUAAGACUCCAGACACUAAGCUGUGGUGACAACAAACAUUUUUAUUCAACUGGUUCAAAAAUUUUUAAAGAAUUAAUCCAUUUAGGUGACCAAAUAAGACUUCUAAAAACAAAUCUUUGCCAAAUAGUUUAAGUAAUUCUCAACUUCAACUUGUGUUAGGGUAGAAUAAAUACCCACAGCUAGGAAGUACCAUAAACAUGUCAAUAAAAGGCUAGCCAACACUGAAAGCCUUCCAUGACCAGUUACUAGACUGUUUACAAGAGUGUAAAUAAGGGAUUAAAACCAUGCCAUUGACAAGUUAACUUACCCCUGGGCUCCUUGAAGGCUUGUCAGUUUAGUCUUUGGAGGUCCCCGAAUACCAUUUUAAGUGUUACCAUGUUACUGCUGCUGAGUAACAGUGCAAGUGCUAAAAUGCAAAAUUCAGAUGGUACAGGGUUUGGAAAUCAUGCAGAUUUAGAUGCAGAAAAAAAAAUUAAAACAACUCAAGAUCCUUUUACAGAGGAAACUGAAUAAUGAAACAACGUGGCGCUCACAAGUCUAAAGGACGACUUCAUUGAUAAAUGUAACUUGCAAAAUGACAGGCCUAUUUAUCAUAAUCUAAUUAGGCAAGGGCAUUAGGUAAACUACCAACACAAAAACGGUCACAUUCUUCCAAUUAGAAAACGAGCUCUCAACUCUCACACAGAAUUAGCAGUUACAUAGAAAGUACAAUAGAGAAUCAAUGUGUUAUUGCUUUUACAUACUUAAUUAACAGUGCACUGUGAGAGUGAGUCCUAUAAGUGGUUUUACUCAACAUCACUACGUUCCCCCACCCUUUGGAGGACAAAACCCAUUUCGCUAAACACUUCCACAGACAACCCACCCCACUGGUUCUUAACGCUACCAGACUUCUUAAUGGGUUUCAGGCACAAGGUAAAUGGUGGUUUCUUCCACUUUAUCCCUAUUGCAAUUAAUUCCACUUUUCAAAUCCCAAACUGGAAAGGUGCUGAUAUUCCCUCUUUUCAAUUGAUAUGCUUUGCUACAAAGCAUUUGAAAAUAAUCAACAUUGUUUUGCCCACUCCCCCAAAUAUCUUUAGAAGGCAUGAUUUCCCACUGGAGAUUUAUACAGACCAUGUAAAUAGAACAUCACCCAAAUGCACAGAGGCACUAAGAAAAAGCCAGAGGGUACUGCUUACCAUUUUAGGUGCGGUCACCCAGACUUAUUAAAAACUAGAUUUAAAAAGAAAAAAAAAAAAAAUACUGUUCACUUUGGACAAUGCAAGAACAAAUAGCAAUUAAGUCUGGGUAUCAGGUGUCAAUGCAUGACAGGUGAUGAAUCCAUUUGACUUGAGACAACUUUUCAAAUAAGUUUAUUUGAAGCAAAAUAAACUAUUGCCAAGAAACUUUAUGAAAGUUCCAUCUCAAAAGGGUCAAAAAAGGGGAAUUAACUGCUAUGAAUUCUUUGCAUUCAGGGCUGCAAAACAAAGACACAUAUUAUUUAAAUCAGUUUUAUUUAAGAAUUUCCAACAUUGACAACUCUUAUAAAAAGCAUCCAAGCACAGGACACAGAACUGCAGCAAACAGCAUUCUUAGGGGUAGCUAACAGACAUUAGAACUUCCACCCUUCUUUGAGACACCUGAGCCCACUGGUGAACUCUGCUUCCAAGUACUCCUGCAAAGCACACCACAAGCUCAGUCCAUGUUCUCAGCCCACCAUCUCCAGUUCACAUUACCACACUUACAUAUCAAUAACAGAAGAGAACACACACCAUACAGCAUUCACAGCAGUUGACAGAGGGGCAGGGGGAAUACAAGUAUCGUGUCACUUAACACAUUCAACUAACGUGGGUUAUCUAAGAACAAAACUCACUUAAAGUCUUCCAACAGAUGUGGAUGUCCUUUGAAUGCAAGAAACAUUCGUACAUUAUUUGCUAUCAUUGCUCUCUGCACACUCUCA
Carlito syrichta (Philippine tarsier) is the source of this 7172-nucleotide RNA transcript. It is a transcript of the gene named vigilin-like, with no coding region annotated. The transcript is spliced from 2 exons. The record is from RefSeq and is a predicted model, not a curated record. Lineage: Eukaryota; Metazoa; Chordata; Mammalia; Primates; Tarsiidae.